UACGUAGGGGGCUAGCGUUGUUCGGAAUUACUGGGCGUAAAGCGCACGUAGGCGGUUUUGCAAGUCAGAGGUGAAAGCCCGGGGCUCAACCCCGGAAUUGCCUUUGAGACUGCAUCGCUAGAAUUGUGGAGAGGUAAGUGGAAUUCCGAGUGUAGAGGUGAAAUUCGUAGAUAUUCGGAAGAACACCAGUGGCGAAGGCGACUUACUGGACACAUAUUGACGCUGAGGUGCGAAAGCGUGGGGAGCAAACAGG
This 253-nucleotide ribosomal RNA is filed under the name uncultured bacterium. Its description in RNAcentral is "partial 16S ribosomal RNA". It matches the Rfam family "Bacterial small subunit ribosomal RNA", at positions 524 to 776 of the family's 1533-position model. The record is from RNAcentral.